AUGAUUCACUUAGUAUGUGUAUUGAUUUCAAGCAUAUUAAUCGGGCCUGCCCGAAAGAUCAUUUUCCUCUCCCUUGCAUCGAUCAUAUGGUUGACUCGACAACAGGAUGUGAGCAUUUGUCCUUCUUUGAUGCGUAUUUUGGGUACCAUCAGAUCCGUCCAUAUGGGCCUGAUGAAUAAAAACAGCCUUCAUCACCCUAUUCAGGUGUUUUUGCUAUGUUACCAUGCCUUUUGGUCUGAACAAUGUUUGAGCCAUGUUCAUUCACAUGAUACAGAAGUGCCUCCUCACUCAAAUCAGUCAAAACGUGGAAGCAUACAUGGAUGA
Molecule: ribosomal RNA, 324 nt
Filed under: Triticum aestivum (bread wheat)
Lineage: Eukaryota; Viridiplantae; Streptophyta; Magnoliopsida; Poales; Poaceae
Description: partial small subunit ribosomal RNA
Source: RNAcentral